UUCGUCGUGUGCUGCAUUGACAAUUUACUGAAAAGCUUCUCUGAGGUAAAAUAACAGUUUGGUUAAAUACUGCCUAUUGCACUUGCCAUCGUCCCCCAAAUUUUAUGAGAUUAUGUUACUCCUACAUGUGUAUAGGUUGUCAUUCUUAUCAUCAUCAAUCUCCAUAUUGUGGCAGAGACGCCGUCUGUCUCCAGUUGGAUAAGAUAUUAGAUCUACCUACAGUGGUGGACCUAGGAUUUAGGUGAGUGGGUUUGGCGGCCCAAGACAAACAACUAGGGUCUUCCUUUAGUGGGAGUUGAGAUGACGUCACUGAGGAACAGCACCAAACUUCAUCGCGUUGACCCUGCCUUCUUUUUCUUUAUCUGGUGUCAUUUUGCCCCAACGGUUUUAGGAAAAUCUUUCUGUACUACUGUUUGGGGAAAAAGGAAAAAAAAUAGGCAGCAUAUUCUACUCCGAAUAAUUUAUUAAAUUACAAUUUUUAUGCUAUUUCAAUUUCGGCCUUUUACUCAAAGCUUCACUUCUUAAUGUUUGUAUUUUCUUUUCAUCAUUGUAAAUUCAUAAAAUGACAAUUUAACAAGAACAACACAGAAAUCAAGAUUACAAAUUAUAAACAAUAACACAUAAUGCAAGAUUAGAAAAUAACAAAUAAACAACAAAAUAAGAAAAUAACAUAAUAAAUUAACCACUAAAAAGUUCUAAAAAUUAAUAUGAACCAACCAAAAGAGCAAUAGAGCAGCUGGGCAUUAGAGCAAGCAAUGGAUGGCAGAAAGAGGCUUAGCCAUGUUGGUGUACAUACAUAUGAAGUGGCUUGCAAGGAGUCAUUAAUUUUAGAUAUUUGUGUGUCAAGAAAAUAUGUAGAAAUCUCUAGUGCUAAGAUAACCUCAAAUUAUUGAGUACAAUAACAACAAACCCAGUAUAUUCCUACACGUGGGGUCUGAGGAGGGUAGUGUGUACGCAAACCUUAUUCCUACCUAGUGAAGGUAGAGAGGCUGUUUCCUAUAAAUCCUCUGCUCAGAAAAGGUGAGAAGAAGAAAGAAGUAGAAGAAGAAAAAGAAAAGUACCAAACAGUAACAACAAGGAAAUAUGAUAAAUGAAGCGAACUAAACAACAUGACGUAAUAUAGAUCUAAGAAUAUAAAGGUACAUGAGUGCUACUAGUACUACUGGUAAGAAAAGGAGAAACUUUCAACUACCUACUACCUUUCUAUCCUAAUUCUCGACCUCUACACCCUCCUAUUAAGGGUCAUAUCCUCAGUAAGCUGAAGCAACACCAUGUUCUGCCUAAUCACCUCUCCCCAGUACUUUUUUGGCCUACCUUGACCUCUUCUCAAACCCGCCAUGACCAACCUCUCAUACCUCCUAAUAGCAACAUCAGUGCUUCUCCUCUUAACGUGCUCGAACCAUCUCAGUUUCGACUCCUGCAUCUUGUUCUCCAGGAGGCUACUCCCACUUUGUCCUGAAUAACUUUAUUACUAAUCUUAUCUCUCCUGAUAUACCCACUCAUCCAUCUCAACAUCCUCAUUUUUGCUACUUUCAUUUUCUGAACAUGGGGGUUCUUGACUGGCCAACACGAAGUCCCAUGCAACAUAGUUGGUCUAACCACUACUCUGUAGAAUUUACCUUUUAAGUCUUGGUGGCACAUUCUUAUCACGUAGAACACCAGACACGAGCCUCCAUUUCGUCCAUUUUGUUCCAAUACGAUGUGUAACAUCCUUGUCAAUCUCCCCGUUACCUUGAGUAUUGGGAUGAAAUAGGUCCAAAUGGAGUGAAAUGGAUAUUGAGAAUUUAUAUAGCUGAUCUCAACUUUGGGAUUGAGGCAUGGUAGUAGUUCUUAUUAUACUAAACAAUUUUGUAUAAUUAGUGAACAUAGCAUAUUUGAUACAAAUGCCGAGCAGCACCAAACCCUCAUAAAUGCGAAGGUUGAUUCUUUGGAUGAAAGCGCCGACACAAAGACGAAGCACUGAGCUAAAUGACCAGAAUAUAAAGAGGUCACGGGCUCAGCUAUGAACCUAUAACCUUUACUUAAACGAUGGCGUUCUUUGCCAAUGCAUUUGGUUCGGCCUUUCAGUGUAUCGUACUUUUAUAAUCUUAUAUAAUGUAUAGAUAUAGUAAAUAUUUAAGCCCCCUUGCUACAAUGUGGGCCCACUUGUCUGCUUAGUAUGCCUCUUUGCAAAUUGGGAACUUUGCAAUUUGAUUUAGGACUUCAUAAUUUUUUGGUUGCAUAUAAAGCCUUGUCAAAAGUCUGGGACUUAGGUAUCAAUACUUGUCAUAUAAGCUUUAGCAUCGUAGAUGAGGACAUGAGGUUUCAUUAGAAGACUGAUAUAGCCAACUUUUUAUUUACUACAGAUGCGGGAAAUUUAUGGGGCGUCUGGUUACUUUGCAGAGGCUGAGAGUUUGAGCAAGAACAAAUUAAAGGAUACCAAAAGACUUACAGAAGUUUCUGCAAG
Nicotiana tabacum (common tobacco) is the source of this 2446-nucleotide non-coding RNA. Lineage: Eukaryota; Viridiplantae; Streptophyta; Magnoliopsida; Solanales; Solanaceae. The record is from RefSeq and is a predicted model, not a curated record.